AAGGGAACAAAAGCAACAGCAGCUCUUCGAAGAAUAAUAUUUUGUCGUCAAAGUCGUUAUCAUCAUCAUCAACUAAAAAGAAAGACAAAACAAAAAGC
Molecule: non-coding RNA, 98 nt
Filed under: Fragilariopsis kerguelensis
Lineage: Eukaryota; Bacillariophyta; Bacillariophyceae; Bacillariales; Bacillariaceae
Source: RNAcentral